RNAcentral lists this long non-coding RNA (2552 nucleotides) under Mastacembelus armatus (zig-zag eel). Its description in RNAcentral is "lncRNA (ENSMAMG00000024615.1)". Lineage: Eukaryota; Metazoa; Chordata; Actinopteri; Synbranchiformes; Mastacembelidae. The record is from RNAcentral.
AUGAAUCAGAUUAGAUGUAGAUGGGAGCCUUAUUUCCUAAAUGUUGGAAUAUUUUUCUUCUUUCUGCACAGUCAUCAGAAAUCAGGAGGAGACUUUCCAGUGAACUUGCAGUCUUGGCAGCAGGGGUCCAGGCCCUCACAUCAGGAAACAUCACCCCUUGCUCUGUGGACACUGGCUACAGUGAGCAGCGUCUGGACACCCCCCCCCUCCUCCAUGUCAGGCCCAUACACCCCGGGCUCCUCUACUUCCUCUCAGGGUGGAGGAGGAACACCUUACAGCUCCAGAUCUGGGACUCCUUUUUCACAAGACACAAGCUACACUGGCAGCAGGCAUACUGGCUACAACACUGGCACCUUGGGCAGUGGCUACCCUCCUCAAGACAUGCUGCCUUCCUCCUCCUCAUCUUCUGCAGUCUCAUCUACUGUCGGUGGAUAUAAAGUGUCUCGCUACUCUGAGGAUGCACAGGAACCUUCAGUGUAUCAUCGAGGUCGCCCUAUAUACCCCCCAACCUCAUCGUACCGUCCCACUGAGCCACCAUGUUACCCACCAUACCCAAAUGUUGCAGGGCCUGGCCCACACAUGGCUCACCACUCCUCAAUGCUGCCGCCACCUCUUGCCACCCAAUAUGAUCAGCCCCCACUGUCAGAAAGGGAUAGGGACCGUGACAGAGACUCAGGAGGCCGCUAUGGGCCAGGGGGGAUUGGUUCUAGAAGAUCAUCGUACCACCACCAGCAGGAUGUAAUAUCUUCCUCAAAGUACCAUUCCCAUCAUUCCCACCACCACUCAGAUCGCAGGGAUGACAGGGGGUACCGGCGAGACAGCCUGGGCUCCCGUUCAGGUGACCACAGCCACCAGAGACAUCGCAACCACCAUCAUUCUCACAACCACCAUGGCAGCAGCAGCCGCAGAAGAAGCAGCCACGACCGCGACAGAGAUCGAGACAGAGACCGAGAUAGAGAUAGAGACAGAGACAGUGACUACUCUAACAGCUCUGACCCCAGAUAUAAUUCUAACUCUUACCGCUCUUCUUCGAACAGCAUGUCUCCUCCCCCUUCAUCUUACUCCUCAUACGCCUCUAAAGAGCCUGCCCCAGCCCCUCCUCAGGGACUGGAUGCUUCCACCCGUCUGGGUGGCACAAGUGUUGCAGAAAGGGGCUCUCUGCCUUCAGUAGGUGCUGACAAAGACUUCCAUGCUGGUCACCAUAAUGCUCUGCCUCCACCUCCCCCCCCCCCCCCGCCCCUUCCACCAGCCUCUGUUAUUGCAGCGGCUGUUGCAGAGACGCUUGGAACGAUGGACUUUAACCAGGACAGUCCAGCCCGUGAAGAGCAGUGGACAAAACCCAAACGCCGUCCCAGCACCCCACCCGCGCCUCCAAAGACGCCCCCACCUUCCUCCCCGCCUCAUCCCUCCAUCAGUUCCUCUUCCACCUCCCCGUCCUCGACCUCACUCCCCCAUCACCUUCCUUCUUCAUCCAGCUCCCCAGCACCUCCCCAACGUGACUCCUCUUCCCCUGAGCCAGAUUCGACCAAUGAGAGUUUACCGUUCGUCUACCACAGCAGCAGUCUGGACUCUCGUAUUGAGAUGCUCCUAAAGGAACAGAAGGCUAAAUUUUCUUUCCUGGCCUCUGAUGAGGAAGAUGAGGAAGACAGGAAAGAGGAGAAGCCAAGGGGUGCACGUGGGGAUGGAGGAGAGCGAAGAGGAACGUCAGGUGAUGUAACAGGGGAGCACACAAGUGGUAAUCAGGUAGGAGACGGUGGGGAUAAGGAGCACAGAAGGAAAGGGGAAAGAGACAGAGAUGGCCACAGAGGAAGGAAACGAGGAAAGGGAGCUGAGGGUAGAAAGAGUCCUACUGUACUUGCAGCAGCAACACCAACCUCUUCCACCUAUUCUCCUCACAUCCCACCUCCAGAAGAACCCCAGCCACAGGUGGGCUUGACUGGGCCUGCAGUUUUGCUGGAGGAAUCUUCACAGACUGUAUCUGCUGAUACACGGGAAAGGACAGGCGCACAUACACCACCUUACAAUGGCCAGAGUCAGGUAAGAUCAGCAUGUAAUGAAACUUUUAUUGGGUCUGAACUGCAUUUUUGUACCAACUCUACUUGUUGUGUUGAUGUAAAAUCUCUUGAAAUUUCUCAGGGUACUACAAACCAGGCAGGAGUAAAAUUUCGUUCACAUCCUCAACAAGUUUCCUCUCCAGUUUUUACUUUUAAUAAUCAAUAGAAAAGAUCCACUACACACAUGAAUGUUUUGGGUUCUGCUUUCCUGAAUUACCUCUACACUUGAUGAUCACAACUCUUCAGCACUUAGCACUAUGCAACACAUAGGCAGCCUAAUUGUCUUUUUUGCAGUGGAACAAUAACACUGGAUAGGGUAGUAUUGUUUGACAUCUCAUUGCUGUAAUAAAAGCAACCCCCAAAUCAAUGUUCUGUAAAAAUGUUUCUUGUAUGUGAAACAUGAAAAAGCAUUGUGAAGCCAAAGUGUUUGUAACCCCAUUGGGAAAGUUUGGUUUUCACUUUGGUAUUUAAGACGCUGUUUGUUUCCCAACUGAUAUA